ACGCCAGACUCCUACGGGAGGCAGCAGUGGGGGAUAUUGCACAAUGGGGGGAACCCUGAUGCAGCGACGCCGCGUGGGUGAAGGAGCGUUUCGGCGCGUAAAGCCCUAUCGGCAGGGAAGAAGGAGGACGGUACCUGACUAAGAAGCCCCGGCUAACUACGUGCCAGCAGCCGCGGUAAUACGUAGGGGGCAAGCGUUAUCCGGAUUUACUGGGUGUAAAGGGGGCGCAGACGGCAGCGCAAGCCAGGAGUGAAAGCCCGGGGCCCAACCCCGGGACUGCUCUUGGAACUGUUUCCCUUGAGUGUCGGAGAGGUAAUCGGAAUUCCUUGUGUAGCGGUGAAAUGCGUAGAUAUAAGGAAGAACACCAGUGGCGAAGGCGGAUUACUGGACGAUAACUGACGGUGAGGCGCGAAAGCGUGGGGAGCAAACAGGAUUAGAUACCCUUGUAC
Molecule: ribosomal RNA, 449 nt
Filed under: uncultured bacterium
Lineage: Bacteria
Description: partial 16S ribosomal RNA
Rfam family: Bacterial small subunit ribosomal RNA
Source: RNAcentral